UACAGAGGGUGCAAGCGUUAAUCGGAAUUACUGGGCGUAAAGCGUGCGUAGACGGUUACAUAAGUCGGGUGUGAAAUCCCCGGGCUCAACCUGGGAACUGCAUCUGUGACUGCAUCGCUGGAGUGCGGCAGAGGGGGAUGGAAUUCCGCGUGUAGCAGUGAAAUGCGUAGAUAUGCGGAGGAACACCGAUGGCGAAGGCAAUCCCCUGGGCCUGCACUGACGCUCAUGCACGAAAGCGUGGGGAGCAAACAGG
This 253-nucleotide ribosomal RNA is filed under the name uncultured bacterium. RNAcentral's name for it is "partial 16S ribosomal RNA". It matches the Rfam family "Bacterial small subunit ribosomal RNA", at positions 524 to 776 of the family's 1533-position model. The record is from RNAcentral.